RNAcentral lists this ribosomal RNA (402 nucleotides) under uncultured Pseudolabrys sp. RNAcentral's name for it is "bacterial SSU rRNA". It matches the Rfam family "Bacterial small subunit ribosomal RNA", at positions 353 to 772 of the family's 1533-position model. The record is from RNAcentral. Lineage: Bacteria; Pseudomonadati; Pseudomonadota; Alphaproteobacteria; Hyphomicrobiales; Xanthobacteraceae.
AGUGGGGAAUAUUGGACAAUGGGCGCAAGCCUGAUCCAGCCAUGCCGCGUGGAUGAUGAAGGCCCUAGGGUUGUAAAGUCCUUUUAACGGGGAAGAUAAUGACGGUACCCGUAGAAUAAGCCCCGGCUAACUUCGUGCCAGCAGCCGCGGUAAUACGAAGGGGGCUAGCGUUGCUCGGAAUUACUGGGCGUAAAGCGCACGUAGGCGGCUCUUUAAGUCGGGGGUGAAAUCCUGGAGCUCAACUCCAGAACUGCCUUCGAUACUGGAGAGCUCGAGUCCGGGAGAGGUGAGUGGAACUGCGAGUGUAGAGGUGAAAUUCGUAGAUAUUCGCAAGAACACCAGUGGCGAAGGCGGCUCACUGGCCCGGUACUGACGCUGAGGUGCGAAAGCGUGGGGAGCAAA